UACGUAGGGUGCGAGCGUUGUCCGGAAUUAUUGGGCGUAAAGAGCUCGUAGGCGGCUUGUCGCGUCGGAUGUGAAAGCCCGGGGGCUUAACCCCCGGGUCUGCAUUCGAUACGGGCAGGCUAGAGUUCGGUAGGGGAGAUCGGAAUUCCUGGUGUAGCGGUGAAAUGCGCAGAUAUCAGGAGGAACACCGGUGGCGAAGGCGGAUCUCUGGGCCGAUACUGACGCUGAGGAGCGAAAGCGUGGGGAGCGAACAGG
RNAcentral lists this ribosomal RNA (255 nucleotides) under uncultured bacterium. RNAcentral's name for it is "partial 16S ribosomal RNA". It matches the Rfam family "Bacterial small subunit ribosomal RNA", at positions 524 to 776 of the family's 1533-position model. The record is from RNAcentral.